UGGCGGACGGGUGAGUAACACGUAGGCAACCUGCCCAUCAGACUGGGAUAACCACGGGAAACCGUGGCUAAUACCGGAUAAUCCUUUUCCACACAGGUGGGAAAGUUGAAAGGCGGUCUUUUGGCUGUCACUGAUGGAUGGGCCUGCGGCGCAUUAGCUUGUUGGUGGGGUAACGGCCCACCAAGGCGACGAUGCGUAGCCGACCUGAGAGGGUGAUCGGCCACACUGGGACUGAGACACGGCCCAGACUCCUACGGGAGGCAGCAGUAGGGAAUCUUCCGCAAUGGACGAAAGUCUGACGGAGCAACGCCGCGUGAGUGAAGAAGGGUUUCGGCUCGUAAAACUCUGUUGUCAGGGAAGAACGCCGACAGGAGUAACUGCCCGUCGGGUGACGGUACCUGACCAGAAAGCCACGGCUAACUACGUGCCAGCAGCCGCGGUAAUACGUAGGUGGCAAGCGUUGUCCGGAAUUAUUGGGCGUAAAGCGCGCGCAGGCGGUCCUUUAAGUCUGAUGUGAAAGCCCACGGCUCAACCGUG
Molecule: ribosomal RNA, 537 nt
Filed under: uncultured Salinicoccus sp.
Lineage: Bacteria; Bacillati; Bacillota; Bacilli; Caryophanales; Staphylococcaceae
Description: bacterial SSU rRNA
Rfam family: Bacterial small subunit ribosomal RNA
Source: RNAcentral